UACGUAGGUGGCAAGCGUUGUCCGGAUUUAUUGGGUUUAAAGGGUGCGUAGGCGGCUUAUUAAGUCAGUGGUGAAAUACUCCAGCUUAACUGGAGGGGUGCCAUUGAUACUGAUGAGCUUGAGUACAGACGAGGUAGGCGGAAUUGACGGUGUAGCGGUGAAAUGCUUAGAUAUCGUCAAGAACACCUAUAGCGAAGGCAGCUUACUAGGCUGUAACUGACGCUGAGGCACGAAAGUGUGGGGAUCAAACAGG
Molecule: ribosomal RNA, 253 nt
Filed under: uncultured bacterium
Lineage: Bacteria
Description: partial 16S ribosomal RNA
Rfam family: Bacterial small subunit ribosomal RNA
Source: RNAcentral